CCUAACGCACUGCCCCUUCUCCUCUUUUCCUUUUGAUAGAUUUUUCGAUUUCCGUGUCAAGCAAGCAUCCACUCUCCCUCUUUCUCCCAACUCCAUUUCUUAACCCAUGGGCAAUAACCAAACCCCAUCUCAAUAAAUUCUCAUUUACAUCCUUUUUCAUUUGCCCCUUUUCUUGCCUUCUAAUCUUCCUCCCCACCCACUUUCUCCUCUCUAUCUUUUUUCGGACUCAUGGGAUUCCCUUGAUGUGUUGAGUUUUUGGGAGCACUUACACUCCACUUGAUUUUUUGCUCNA
RNAcentral lists this long non-coding RNA (292 nucleotides) under Salvia miltiorrhiza (redroot sage). Its description in RNAcentral is "long non-coding RNA (SMIL_LNC000295)". The record is from RNAcentral. Lineage: Eukaryota; Viridiplantae; Streptophyta; Magnoliopsida; Lamiales; Lamiaceae.